UCACCGCCCUUCCUCGCCGCCCCUGUCCAAGCAGAAGGACCAGAAAGCGCCUCCGGGAAAGCGGGUCAGGGAGCGUGUCCCCGAUUACGCGGUGAGAGGGGCCAGAGGGCAGUGGGGCGCCUCUUCGAGGGCACACCCCGACCUCCAGCUCUGGGGACCUGGCUUUGUCGCCUGAGGCUGCUGCUGCGAUUUCGCAACUGUCUGGUUUUAGAGCGAACCCACCCCAAAGGUUAGCUGCAAGUGAAAGAGGAGAGAGGUGACAGGAAUGGGCCGCCUCAGGCCUUGAUGGGGACUUCAGCGUGCAGAGGGCGUGAGCAGGUAGUGAGCACCUGCCGGCCAGCCUGGAGGCAGGGAGGAGGGGCUGUGGGCAGCAGGACGGAGGCUCUGACAAUCAAGGAGAUUACUUAAUACUGGUGAGAGGCCUUGGGUUGAAGCCAGAUUCUAGUGCAGUCAGACGUGCCGUCAGACGUGGAUGCAACGUGGCAGUGAAGGCAAGAGGUGGCUGCUGUUUCUAAACCUCAGUUAAUAGAGAAAGCCCGUGGCGGGUGCUGAGAGACUGAUGACUGGUUUCUUCCCAGGACCAACAUGGUGGAAGGAGAGAACAUAUUCUGCCCUCUGACUCCCAUCCACCCACCUCCGACACAAGUUAAAUAAUAAAUGAAAUGUAUGGAGAGAGAGAGAGAGAAUGAAUACAGGACAACCAGAGAUAACUCAAGUGUCUCGCCCACCUCAUCAGCAAUGGCCAAAGAAUGGUUGAGACCCAGCUUGUUAAAUCCUGCUUGCGACCGAGAAAAGGGGUCACUUGGUUGGGUAGCUUCCCUGCCAUUCCACCCUGCAGCCUACUGCCUGCCAUCUGCCUUAGACUCCGGCACUCACAGAUGGGAUUCUGGAGCAAGCCAUUCCAUGGUCAUCAAGCCGCAAGUCCGUGGACAAUGAGCAACCAUGCAAACAACACUCCGCCCUGUGGCCCAUCUGCACUGUCUUUCCUUCUGCAGAUUUGUGAAACACCUGGGCCAUGGGGAGAUGAGGAUGAGCAACCGGAUAAACAUCUGGAGCACACCUAGGCAGGUGGGGCUCAGACAGUCAAUGAGGUCAAGAGAAUGUGUCCUGUGCUGUUUGUAAUAACACGCUCUGCAGAAAAUUGAGGACGGAUCAGGAAGCCCUAAGACUAACCAUGGUAAGUACCCACACGGACACUUGGAAAGCAAAGUGGACCUCUGCUGUCAGAAAACAUGGAUCUCCUAGUGUACAUGGGUGAGAUGUGGCCAGAACACCUGUUCCCCCUCCUGCCACAGAUGCCAAUGAGCAGGGAGAGGUAUUGGAUCUUUGUGUUGCUCUAUAUUCCGAAAGCCAGGCAAUUUGUGAAUGCGGCAGAUUAACACCCCAGGACAAGCUGCCAUCCCUCCUACCCAGGCAGCAGGAGGGAAACAAACAGCCAGUCAUUCCAGAGCUGUCCUGCCCCUCUGCUCAGGGGGUCAGCCACAUCUCUGAGACUUGAGAUGUCUGUGUCACUCUCGUCCUCUACUCAGCAGCCUUCUUUCAUUCUCUGAAUAUUGAGGCCCAGGAACUUUCUGGGAAUAGGGACUCUAGUUGGUGUCUUCUGGAAUCAACCUGGCAUUCGUCCAGGGCUGGAGAGCUAAUGCACAACAAAUAAGCUCUUCACAGUGUGUCUGUACUAAACUGUUAACAUACCCAUGCAGAUUCUUUUCGAUAGUAUGGGACACACAAGUGUCCCUAUCCAUAUCCCCUGUCAAGACUUCCCAGUGCCCCCUGGAUAUGCAUGUAUGUGCAGAAUACCUCUGGAAGAACCAACCAGGCACAGCCGCAGUGGUUGCAUUUGAAGGACAGAAAGGAGAUGGAGCAUGGGAAUGGGGGGGGGAACUUAUAAUAUCUGCUUCUGAUCUGUAUUAUCACCACAGGUAAUCCAGAGCCCGCAGCAUGCGCUUGGAGCCAGGAUACUUGGGUUAAGGUGAAUUUCCCAUUUGUGCUUGGGUGGCACCUCCUACCUUACUGAGUGAUUGUGAGGUUCAAGCAUGUAUGUGCUGAGCACAAAGUAACGACGAUUUGCAAUUGCUGUUAUUAAUGUUGUUGCUAUCAAAUUAGAAAGAAGAUAGAAUCUUGACAAAGAAUAACUCCAGCUGUGACUUUCUUUAUCAUAAAUGAUAAAAGGCAUUGUGUUUAAAACUGCUGGGCUAUUCAAUAAAGGCUUAGAUAUUU
Peromyscus leucopus (white-footed mouse) is the source of this 2217-nucleotide long non-coding RNA. RefSeq lists it as uncharacterized. The transcript has 2 exons. Lineage: Eukaryota; Metazoa; Chordata; Mammalia; Rodentia; Cricetidae. The record is from RefSeq and is a predicted model, not a curated record.